Long non-coding RNA from Aedes aegypti (yellow fever mosquito), 422 nucleotides. RefSeq lists it as uncharacterized. Lineage: Eukaryota; Metazoa; Arthropoda; Insecta; Diptera; Culicidae. The record is from RefSeq and is a predicted model, not a curated record. The transcript is spliced from 2 exons.
CAAUGAGUAGAUAAUUGAAUAACUAUAACACAAAUGAAUAAUUUGCAACUAAUGACAGAUUUUAUUUCCUACCAUGCCCCGAAUUGAAAAUCAUUCAAUUAUUGUAUAAAACGUCAUGUGGCGUAUGAAUGGUCCUUAAUAUCGAAUCAUUCUUGCAUACAUUGUAAAUAUGGCGGUUGCGGCGUGGUCAAUUUGCGAAUUGUAGAACGAGUUUGUGUAGAUCUUCAAGCAUCUACGAUUUAUUUCGAGUGCCACCAAGAACCCCAGCAACAACAGAACCAAGGAUUUUGUAUUCAAUCAGCGGGAUGGAGUCACGGCAUGUAGCUUACGAACAGGCAUCUGAUCCUGCAGUCUCAAUAUUUUAUAAUGUUUGAAUAUUACUUAUAUUGUGCAGCUAAAUAAAAAGCAGCAGUUAUUCAUUA